Molecule: long non-coding RNA, 734 nt
Organism: Mus musculus (house mouse)
Lineage: Eukaryota; Metazoa; Chordata; Mammalia; Rodentia; Muridae
Product: predicted gene, 52609
Exons: 3
Source: RefSeq, a predicted model, not a curated record
UGCUCCUGAGCCUACCCUGACAACUUGUAGACCACAAAUCACCUGGCAUUUGGCCUUUAUGGCACCCACACCCAACCUCCUCCAUGAGAUCACUAAGUUCUCCUAACUAGAACCCUAGCUAUGUGACACACUCCCCAAAGAAAAUAUCGCUAGAAGAUCCUUAUUUUACUGCUGGUUCAUCUAAGGGUAUGAGAGGGAUUCAUGGUAGACUUCUUUUUCCUCAGCCCACCAGGUGGAACUGGCUGUUUUGAUUCAUCUAUUACAGCUCCUCCAGCCCUGAGCCAUCAGACACCUGUGGAGUGUGAGGAGAAAGUGGAAGUCACCAGAAAGAUAGCAAGCCUCCAGCUAAUGGACAAAGGGAGAUGUGGCUCUACCAUCAAAAGUCAAGUCUGCCCACCUGGGCCCCAAUGAUGGCACCAGGGGAGAAGGUAUCUAGACCUUGGGUUGUAACAGUCACUCCUCCAUCUGGAGAAAGGACUUCCCCUUGGAAACUGAAUCACUUCCUGACUGCAUAGGACAUCACAAAAUUUUUAUUACUAUUAAAGGCAAAUGUGAGAUUAUAUUCUACAAGAUACUAGAACUACAAAUUGUCUGGGUCUCUUUUCAAGCUAUUCUCUAGAUUUCUGUGGUCAACAUAAUAAUGUCACUAGUAGUACCUGACAUCGUUUGGUUCUUUGUUCUUGGUGGCAAAGUAUUAAACACAAUGCUUCCACAGUUCUAACAUCCAUCGUAUU